GAUGAACGCUGGCGGUAUGCUUAACACAUGCAAGUCGAACGGUCCUUUUGGACAGUGGCGGACGGGUGAGUAACACGUGGGUUAUCAACGCUUAGGUGAGGCAUAUCAAAUGGAAACGUUUGUUAGUUCCUCAUAUGGCUAAUAAGUUAAAGUUUUUCGCCUAAGCACGAGCUUGCGUCUGAUUAGCUAGUUGGUAGGGUAAAAGCCUACCAAGGCCAUGAUCAGUAGCUGGUCUGAGAAGAUGGACAGCCACACUGGAAUUUAGAACGGAACAGACUCCUACGGGAGGCAGCAGUGGGGAAUAUUUGGCAAUGGGCGAAAGCUUGACCAAGCAAUACCGCGUGGAGGAUGAAGGCUUUAGGGUUGUAAACUCCUUUUCUGAUUGAGGAAAUUUUGACAGUAUUUCAGGAAUAAGCAUCGGCUAACUUCGUGCCAGCCGCCGCCGUAA
RNAcentral lists this ribosomal RNA (448 nucleotides) under uncultured bacterium. RNAcentral's name for it is "partial 16S ribosomal RNA". It matches the Rfam family "Bacterial small subunit ribosomal RNA", at positions 28 to 523 of the family's 1533-position model. The record is from RNAcentral.